UACGGAGGGUGCAAGCGUUAUCCGGAUUCACUGGGUUUAAAGGGUGCGUAGGUGGGCAGGUAAGUCAGUGGUGAAAUCUCCGGGCUUAACCCGGAAACUGCCAUUGAUACUAUCUGUCUUGAAUACCGUGGAGGUGAGCGGAAUAUGUCAUGUAGCGGUGAAAUGCUUAGAUAUGACAUAGAACACCAAUUGCGAAGGCAGCUCACUACACGAAUAUUGACACUGAGGCACGAAAGCGUGGGGAGCAAACGGG
Molecule: ribosomal RNA, 253 nt
Filed under: uncultured bacterium
Lineage: Bacteria
Description: partial 16S ribosomal RNA
Rfam family: Bacterial small subunit ribosomal RNA
Source: RNAcentral